AGGACAUGGCUCCUGACUCCUGUGCGGAACGUGAGUGACUGAGCGGCAAAGCCCGAAUGGUCUCUAGCGACCGGCCCGUGUCACUGGAGGACGAGGUCUCCCAUAGUAUGAAGGAGAUGAUUGGAGGCUGUUGCGUUUGCUCAGACGAGAGAGGCUGGGCCGAGAACCCGCUGGUUUAUUGCGACGGGCACGGCUGCAGCGUCGCGGUGCAUCAAGCUUGCUAUGGCAUUGUUCAAGUACCCACUGGACCGUGGUUUUGCAGGAAAUGUGAAUCUCAGGAGAGAGCAGCCAGAGUGAGAUGUGAACUUUGUCCCCAUAAGGAUGGAGCUUUAAAAAGAACAGAUAAUGGGGGUUGGGCCCAUGUGGUUUGUGCCCUGUAUAUUCCAGAGGUACAAUUUGCCAAUGUUUCCACAAUGGAACCAAUUGUUUUACAGUCUGUUCCGCAUGAUCGUUAUAAUAAGACUUGCUACAUUUGUGAUGAACAAGGAAGAGAAAGCAAAGCAGCCACUGGUGCUUGCAUGACAUGUAAUAAACAUGGAUGUCGACAGGCUUUCCAUGUAACAUGCGCUCAGUUUGCCGGACUGCUUUGUGAAGAAGAAGGUAAUGGUGCCGAUAAUGUCCAAUACUGUGGCUACUGUAAAUACCAUUUUAGUAAGCUGAAAUAUAAAGAGAAGGACAAACACAAACAGAAACACAAGAAGCAGCCAGAACCAUCACCUGCAUUGGUUCCAUCCUUGACUGUUACUACAGAAAAAACUUAUACAAGCACUAGCAACAACUCUAUAUCUGGAUCAUUGAAGCGCUUGGAAGAUACUACUGCACGAUUUACAAAUGCAAAUUUCCAGGAAGUCUCUGCACACACCUCUAGUGGAAAAGAUGUUUCAGAGACUAGAGGGUCAGAGGGCAAAGGGAAGAAAUCUUCAGCUCACAGCUCAGGUCAAAGGGGAAGAAAGCCUGGUGGUGGAAGAAAUCCAGGAACAACUGUGUCAGCAGCUAGCCCUUUUCCUCAAGGCAGUUUUUCAGGAACUCCAGGCAGUGUAAAGUCAUCUUCUGGAAGUUCAGUGCAGUCUCCCCAGGAUUUCCUGAGCUUUACAGACUCAGAUCUGCGUAAUGACAGUUACUCUCACUCCCAACAGUCAUCAGCAACCAAAGAUGUACAUAAAGGAGAGUCUGGAAGCCAGGAAGGGGGGGUAAAUAGUUUUAGUACCUUAAUUGGCCUCCCUUCAACCUCAGCUGUUACUUCACAGCCUAAAAGCUUUGAAAAUUCACCUGGAGAUUUGGGUAAUUCCAGCCUUCCUACAGCAGGAUAUAAGCGGGCUCAAACUUCUGGCAUAGAAGAAGAAACUGUAAAGG
This 1353-nucleotide long non-coding RNA is filed under the name Homo sapiens (human). RNAcentral's name for it is "long non-coding RNA NONHSAT155196.1". The record is from RNAcentral. Lineage: Eukaryota; Metazoa; Chordata; Mammalia; Primates; Hominidae.